AUUGAACGCUGGCGGCAGGCCUAACACAUGCAAGUCGAGCGGAUGAAGGGAGCUUGCUCCUGGAUUCAGCGGCGGACGGGUGAGUAAUGCCUAGGAAUCUGCCUGGUAGUGGGGGAUAACGUCCGGAAACGGGCGCUAAUACCGCAUACGUCCUGAGGGAGAAAGUGGGGGAUCUUCGGACCUCACGCUAUCAGAUGAGCCUAGGUCGGAUUAGCUAGUUGGUGGGGUAAAGGCCUACCAAGGCGACGAUCCGUAACUGGUCUGAGAGGAUGAUCAGUCACACUGGAACUGAGACACGGUCCAGACUCCUACGGGAGGCAGCAGUGGGGAAUAUUGGACAAAGGGCGAAAGCCUGAUCCAGCAAUGCCGCGUGUGUGAAGAAGGUCUUCGGAUUGUAAAGCACUUUAAGUUGGGAGGAAGGGCAGUAAGUUAAUACCUUGCUGUUUUGACGUUACCAACAGAAUAAGCAACGGCUAACUUCGUG
RNAcentral lists this ribosomal RNA (484 nucleotides) under uncultured bacterium. RNAcentral describes it as "partial 16S ribosomal RNA". It matches the Rfam family "Bacterial small subunit ribosomal RNA", at positions 30 to 507 of the family's 1533-position model. The record is from RNAcentral.